Molecule: small RNA, 702 nt
Filed under: Pongo abelii (Sumatran orangutan)
Lineage: Eukaryota; Metazoa; Chordata; Mammalia; Primates; Hominidae
Description: retained intron
Source: RNAcentral
CUCCAGGAGAAGUUCCCCAAUAUGAGCCGCCUGCAGGACAUCAGCGAGCUGCUGGCCACGUGAGGAGGGCAUAGGGCGGGAGGCCACCGUGGCCCGGGGACCCCAGAACAGGCCCGGGAGCCUGAACUCCCCCACUGAGCCCUGUAUGUCCUACACACAGGGGCGCGGGGCUGUCGGAGAGCGAGGCAGAGCCUGACGGCGACCACAACAUCACAGAGCUGCCUCAGGCUGUCGCCGGCCGUGGCAACAUGCGGGCCCAGCAGAGUGCAGUGCGGCUCACCGAGGUGAGGCCCAGGGCAGGGGACCCCUGGGGUCCGCCAGUGCCAACGAUGGGCUGACACUUCUCCCUCGUCCCCCUAGAUCGGCCCGCGGAUGACACUGCAGCUCAUCAAGGUCCAGGAGGGCGUCGGGGAGGGCAAAGUGAUGUUCCACAGUUUUGUGCGCAAGACGGAGGAGGAGCUACAGGCCAUCCUGGAAGCCAAGGAGAAGAAGCUGCGGCUGAAGGCGCAGAGGCAGGCCCAGCAGGCCCAGAAUGUGCAGCGCAAGCAGGAGCAGCGGGAGGCCCACAGGAAGAAGAGCCUGGAGGGCAUGAAGAAGGCACGGGUCAGGGGUGGUGAUGAAGAGGCCUCUGGGAUCCCUUCAAGGACGGCGAGCCUGGGGUUGGGUGAGGACGACGAUGAACAGGAAGAUGAUGACAUCGAG